Non-coding RNA from Paramisgurnus dabryanus, 462 nucleotides. NCBI's taxonomy places the organism in Eukaryota, Metazoa, Chordata, Actinopteri, Cypriniformes, Cobitidae. The record is from RefSeq and is a predicted model, not a curated record.
CUGGUAUUAACUAUUCCUGGUAAAUCGCGGAGAAGAGUGGCUUGAACAAAAAAGUCAGACCGUGACUAGAACCACCAGCAGCGUAACAAGGAAAUCUCGGAGCAAAGAGACGUCGAGUGGUUCGUGUUGUCCGGUUUGGACAUCAGCGGUAAAGCGAACGUUGUGUGUACUAUUGCAAAAUAUAUAGCGGAUCUCCACGGUUAGGAUACAGACCACAACGCUUUGGACGUAUCUUUAAAAAAGAGAAAAAUCAGAGACUUUUUGGAUUUGUCUGGGGGACAUUUUAAACAUUUUGUGACAAAAUGGAUUUAAAACAUUUCGGAUAUUGGAUACCUAGUUUGAUAUGUCCACAGAGAUUGUUUAAGACGUUUUCACCUCAUUUUAGGGUUUAUUUUUAAUUAAAGGCUUCUUAAAACAUGUAUGAAAAUGUGUAUAUUAUACAAUGAGUCUUAUAUUGUCUGC